CGAUACAGGGUGACAGCCCCGUACACAAAAAUGCACAUGCUGUGAGCUCGAUGAGUAGGGCGGGACACGUGGUAUCCUGUCUGAAUAUGGGGGGACCAUCCUCCAAGGCUAAAUACUCCUGACUGACCGAUAGUGAACCAGUACCGUGAGGGAAAGGCGAAAAGAACCCCGGCGAGGGGAGUGAAAAAGAACCUGAAACCGUGUACGUACAAGCAGUGGGAGCACAGAGCAAUCUGUGUGACUGCGUACCUUUUGUAUAAUGGGUCAGCGACUUAUAUUCUGUAGCAAGGUUAACCGAAUAGGGGAGCCGAAGGGAAACCGAGUCUUAACUGGGCGUUAAGUUGCAGGGUAUAGACCCGAAACCCGGUGAUCUAGCCAUGGGCAGGUUGAAGGUUGGGUAACACUAACUGGAGGACCGAACCGACUAAUGUUGAAAAAUUAGCGGAUGACUUGUGGCUGGGGGUGAAAGGCCAAUCAAACCGGGAGAUAGCUGGUUCUCCCCGAAAGCUAUUUAGGUAGCGCCUCGUGAAUUCAUCUCCGGGGGUAGAGCACUGUUUCGGCAAGGGGGUCAUCCCGACUUACCAACCCGAUGCAAACUGCGAAUACCGGAGAAUGUUAUCACGGGAGACACACGGCGGGUGCUAACGUCCGUCGUGAAGAGGGAAACAACCCAGACCGCCAGCUAAGGUCCCAAAGUCAUGGUUAAGUGGGAAACGAUGUGGGAAGGCCCAGACAGCCAGGAUGUUGGCUUAGAAGCAGCCAUCAUUUAAAGAAAGCGUAAUAGCUCACUGGUCGAGUCGGCCUGCGCGGAAGAUGUAACGGGGCUAAACCAUGCACCGAAGCUGCGGCAGCGACGCUGAUGCGUUGUUGGGUAGGGGAGCGUUCUGUAAGCCUGCGAAGGUGUGCUGUGAGGCAUGCUGGAGGUAUCAGAAGUGCGAAUGCUGACAUAAGUAACGAUAAAGCGGGUGAAAAGCCCGCUCGCCGGAAGACCAAGGGUUCCUGUCCAACGUUAAUCGGGGCAGGGUGAGUCGACCCCUAAGGCGAGGCCGAAAGGCGUAGUCGAUGGGAAACAGGUUAAUAUUCCUGUACUUGGUGUUACUGCGAAGGGGGGACGGAGAAGGCUAUGUUGGCCGGGCGACGGUUGUCCCGGUUUAAGCGUGUAGGCUGGUUUUCCAGGCAAAUCCGGAAAAUCAAGGCUGAGGCGUGAUGACGAGGCACUACGGUGCUGAAGCAACAAAUGCCCUGCUUCCAGGAAAAGCCUCUAAGCAUCAGGUAACAUCAAAUCGUACCCCAAACCGACACAGGUGGUCAGGUAGAGAAUACCAAGGCGCUUGAGAGAACUCGGGUGAAGGAACUAGGCAAAAUGGUGCCGUAACUUCGGGAGAAGGCACGCUGAUAUGUAGGUGAAGUCCCUCGCGGAUGGAGCUGAAAUCAGUCGAAGAUACCAGCUGGCUGCAACUGUUUAUUAAAAACACAGCACUGUGCAAACACGAAAGUGGACGUAUACGGUGUGACGCCUGCCCGGUGCCGGAAGGUUAAUUGAUGGGGUUAGCGCAAGCGAAGCUCUUGAUCGAAGCCCCGGUAAACGGCGGCCGUAACUAUAACGGUCCUAAGGUAGCGAAAUUCCUUGUCGGGUAAGUUCCGACCUGCACGAAUGGCGUAAUGAUGGCCAGGCUGUCUCCACCCGAGACUCAGUGAAAUUGAACUCGCUGUGAAGAUGCAGUGUACCCGCG
RNAcentral lists this ribosomal RNA (1733 nucleotides) under Escherichia coli. RNAcentral's name for it is "bacterial LSU rRNA". It matches the Rfam family "Bacterial large subunit ribosomal RNA", at positions 354 to 2074 of the family's 2925-position model. The record is from RNAcentral. Lineage: Bacteria; Pseudomonadati; Pseudomonadota; Gammaproteobacteria; Enterobacterales; Enterobacteriaceae.